Molecule: ribosomal RNA, 326 nt
Filed under: uncultured eukaryote
Lineage: Eukaryota
Description: partial 18S ribosomal RNA
Rfam family: Eukaryotic small subunit ribosomal RNA
Source: RNAcentral
CCCUUAGAUGUCCUGGGCCGCACGCGCGCUACACUGAACGGAUCAGCGCGUUUUCCCUUCCCGAGAGGGACGGGUAACCUGCUGAACCCCGUUCGUGGUAGGGAUCGGGGCUUGCAAUUAUUCCCCGUGAACCAGGAAUGCCCAGUAAGUGCAAGUCAUAAGCUUGCGUUGAUUACGUCCCUGCCCUUUGUACACACCGCCCGUCGCUACUACCGAUUGAGCGUUUUAGUGAGGUACUCGGACUGAGCCUCAGAAGAUUCACGUCUUUUGUGCUGCUCGGGAAGAUUCCCAAACUUGAGCGUUUAGAGGAAGUAAAAGUCGUAACA